CAGCGCUGCAAGUGGCAAUCAUUUUUAUUGGGCCUAAAGCGUCCGUAGCCUGUUUAGUAAAUCUCUUGUGAAAUCAUUGGGCUUAACCCAAUGGCGUGCAGGAGACACUGCUAGACUAGAGACCGGGAGGAGUCAGAGGUAUUCCAAGUGGAGCGGUAAAAUGCUAUAAUCCUUGGAGGACCACCUGUGGCGAAGGCGUCUGACUAGAACGGAUCUGACGGUGAGGGACGAAAGCCAGGGGAGCAAACCGGAUUAGAUACCCGAGUAGUCC
RNAcentral lists this ribosomal RNA (271 nucleotides) under uncultured archaeon. Its description in RNAcentral is "partial 16S ribosomal RNA". It matches the Rfam family "Archaeal small subunit ribosomal RNA", at positions 477 to 747 of the family's 1478-position model. The record is from RNAcentral.